Long non-coding RNA from Cercocebus atys (sooty mangabey), 505 nucleotides. RefSeq lists it as uncharacterized. The record is from RefSeq and is a predicted model, not a curated record. NCBI's taxonomy places the organism in Eukaryota, Metazoa, Chordata, Mammalia, Primates, Cercopithecidae. The transcript has 2 exons.
AGAUGCAACAUUUUUAAAGUUUCACAAAGCAUCCGGCUGCACCCAGGUCCCUGGAGCAGGAGACAAACAGAAUUAAUGUUUUAUACCUUCGGGACACUGUUACUGAACUUUGUGGGAAAUACCAAGUUCCAGAAGAUUGAAUACAUGCAGGAAACAAAUGCUUUUUGGGCCCUAGAGUGAACAUUUGGUCCAUAUGACAAUGACCAGAAAGACUAUUAGGUGAAGGUUUUUUAAUGAUUUGUGCUACAUUAGUCUCUUCCCAUAAGACAUAUUCAAAGUUUUAACUUUUCCUUAAGAGGCUUCCAUGGGGAGCAAGCAUUUGAUAAUUCAUCCUUUAACUAAGAAAAACACCAUCACACACUGCUUGAAGAAUUCCUCUUCUAUUACUUAAAAUGUUUUUACUGUGUAACAUUUAAGGCAUACAAAAACAUAUAAAGAAUACCAUGAUGAAAGUCUAUGACUAUAUUAUCAAGCUUAAGAAAUAAAACAGUUGAGUCAUCUUUCA